UACGUAGGGCGCAAGCGUUGUCCGGAAUUAUUGGGCGUAAAGAGCUCGUAGGCGGUUUGUCGCGUCUGCUGUGAAAACCUAAGGCUCAACCUUGGGCUUGCAGUGGGUACGGGCAGACUAGAGUGCGGUAGGGGUGACUGGAAUUCCUGGUGUAGCGGUGGAAUGCGCAGAUAUCAGGAGGAACACCGAUGGCGAAGGCAGGUCACUGGGCCGCAACUGACGCUGAGGAGCGAAAGCUCGGGGAGCGAACGGG
This 253-nucleotide ribosomal RNA is filed under the name uncultured bacterium. RNAcentral's name for it is "partial 16S ribosomal RNA". It matches the Rfam family "Bacterial small subunit ribosomal RNA", at positions 524 to 776 of the family's 1533-position model. The record is from RNAcentral.